Pezoporus occidentalis (night parrot) is the source of this 1268-nucleotide RNA transcript. It is a transcript of the gene named PCNA clamp associated factor, with no coding region annotated. Lineage: Eukaryota; Metazoa; Chordata; Aves; Psittaciformes; Psittacidae. The transcript has 2 exons. The record is from RefSeq and is a predicted model, not a curated record.
UGGAGCCAGCCAAAACCACUGCACUCCUGCCAGAUCUGCAGCUCACCUGGAGCUCUGCUGGGGCUGGCAGAGGUGCACAAGUGCUGCACCACAGGGCUGAGGGGCAGGGAAGGGGUGCUCGGUGUGCCAGAGGCAAAACGCAAUACAAAUGGGGUUUGUACACUCGAGUUCUGGUGAUUGGCUGCAGCUGGGCUCUUGGGACACAUUGCUUGAGAUUCAUAUUCACUUCCUUUAAACAAAGCAAUUUAAAAAGCUGUCUGAAGCAUGACAGAGCUAAGCCCACCUGCAGGGCAGCAGCAGCACAGACGCAGCUGAUGCUCUGUGUUAUUGCUUCAAAGGGUGCCCUGGCGCUGUCAGUGUGGUCUGUGGGGUGGCAUUAAACAGCCAAAUCCCUGGUGCUUUCAAAUAAGGGAGAAGACAAUGUGCCUGUCUGCCUGCAAGGGCUGUAUUGAGGCUGUCAGCUCAUCCUUGGAUGAAACAGAUGUGAUGAGUCUUCCUCUGUGACUGCUUUGAAACUGCAAUUGAUUUUUGAAGGAGCUGAAAGUUGUCCGUGUGUCUCUUGACCUUUGUAUGCUCCUUGAAAUCCUGUUUCUAGUAAAGUCUGGUGAAAAGCAGCACCUGUCUCCACUGACCUCGUGGGGCUUUGCCAGGAAUGGGUACAGUAAUUUGUAGUUCAGAGAAAUUCUCUGUGCUCAGACACUGCACACAGACCAGAGCGAUGUGAUAUUCUAUGGCUGUCAUCUCUGUUUCAGAAAGGCUUAGGAGACUGGAGGUGCCUUCUCUAUGUCAGAAAUUGAAUUGCUCCAGUGAACUGAUGCUUCUGAGAUUAACUUGUGGGCUGCACUACUGACUCAAAAGAGCCCAACCCCUGCCACCAGAUCCUGCAGAAGAUGGUGAAUCCUCUGAAGAACAACAGAUGUGAUGUGACCCCGACCUUAAUGAUAAACUGCAUCUCCUGUGCUCAAGCUCGGUUUUGUACAGUUUAUGGCUUACAUUCAGCUGUUGUACAGAACUAAAGGUAGAAGUAUGAGAGACUGCAAGAACAUUGCAGUGAAAUUAAUAUAUACUUUUUGAAACUCAGCAUUCAGUAUAAGUUGCUGGUUUAGUUUUUAUCUUGGUUUCCUUGAGUUCCUUAGAGAUUCCUGCACAUAGUGUAGCUUUUAUGUCUUGAUUGCCUCGUGCUUGUCAGAGACUUGCAUGUUUGUGCCAGUUCUGGUUUUAGGAAGCAGAUCCUUGGUUUUCUAAUACACUGAAGCAGUCUAAAAAUA